CGUUUCACCUAUAAUCUUUAUUAAUCCAAAUCAAAUGAGUUCAAUAAAGUGACCCCGUUUUGCGCAUGCGUGAGACCGUGCAUUUUCACUGCCACCUGCAUUGCGUUUCUCCGUCCACCAUUUUCCACCUGUGGCUGCAGACGAGUUGAUGAGACGCUCCCGAUUACAAGAAGUCAUUUUUUGGCCUCUGGCACUGAUGAUGUGGAGAGGGGCAUCUCAAGCACAGUCAUGGGGAUUUACAUAAUCCGAAGUUAUGUCAACGGGGAGCCACAGGAUGUGGGAAUUGUGAUCGAAGGCAUUAAAGUUCUGACCAACGUUGGCAGUGUCAUCAUGGGUUUUGUUUUGCUGCCCUUGAUCUGAGAUUUCCAGAAAACCUCAAGUACACCUUUGAGUUCAUCAAGAAAAUCAUAAUGACUGGAUGGACACAAGCUCAAUCCAAAGAUACAGCAGCUGAAAAUCAAAUUGUUUUCUUAAAGUGAACACCAGAUGACAAAUAAAUGAAGUUUCUUUACGCUUUUCGUA
Danio rerio (zebrafish) is the source of this 522-nucleotide non-coding RNA. The record is from RefSeq and is a predicted model, not a curated record. NCBI's taxonomy places the organism in Eukaryota, Metazoa, Chordata, Actinopteri, Cypriniformes, Danionidae.